This 379-nucleotide unclassified non-coding RNA is filed under the name uncultured bacterium. Its description in RNAcentral is "contains 16S-23S intergenic spacer region". The record is from RNAcentral.
UCCGAGUUGACCCCGGCAGUCUCCUACGAGUCCCCGGCAUUAUCCGCUGGCAACAUAGGACAAGGGUUGCGCUCGUUGCGGGACUUAACCCAACAUCUCACGACACGAGCUGACGACAGCCAUGCAGCACCUGUGCACGGACUCCGAAGAGGGGCCCCGGUUUCUCGGGGCUUUCCCGUGCAUGUCAAGCCCAGGUAAGGUUCUUCGCGUUGAGUCGAAUUAAACCACAUGCUCCACCGCUUGUGCGGGCCCCCGUCAAUUCCUUUGAGUUUCAGCCUUGCGGCCGUACUCCCCAGGCGGGGCACUUAAUGCGUUAGCUACAGCAUUGCACGGGUCGAUACGCACAGCGCCUAGUAUCCAUCGUUUACGGCUAGGACUA